RNAcentral lists this ribosomal RNA (1212 nucleotides) under Triticum aestivum (bread wheat). RNAcentral's name for it is "partial small subunit ribosomal RNA". The record is from RNAcentral. Lineage: Eukaryota; Viridiplantae; Streptophyta; Magnoliopsida; Poales; Poaceae.
AUGGCGCCGUCCACCUCGUCGGCCUCCGCCCUCCUCCACCUCCCGGGUCUGCCUCCCCGGGGACCCCAUAGAGGCGGGUGCCGGAACCACCCGCGGCGGCCGCGCCAUGCGGCCGUGCGGUGCUCCUUCGCGUUCGCGCCCGUGGAGACGGCGAGGAUAAAGGUCGUGGGCGUAGGUGGCGGCGGCAACAACGCCGUCAACCGCAUGAUCGGCAGCGGCCUCCAGGGAAUCGAGUUUUAUGCUAUAAACACAGACUCCCAGGCUCUUGUGAAUUCCCAGGCGCAACAUCCGCUACAAAUUGGAGAACAAUUGACUCGUGGGCUGGGUACUGGUGGAAAUCCUAAUUUGGGAGAACAAGCUGCCGAGGAAUCAAAGGAAGUGAUAGCUAAUGCCCUCCGAGAUUCUGACCUUGUCUUCAUAACAGCUGGGAUGGGAGGUGGUACUGGCUCCGGUGCUGCUCCAGUUGUUGCCCAGAUAGCAAAGGAGGCCGGUUAUCUUACUGUCGGUGUUGUCACCUACCCAUUCAGCUUCGAAGGACGCAAGCGCUCUCUACAGGCACUCGAAGCAUUGGAGAAGCUUGAAAGAAGUGUUGACACUCUGAUUGUGAUUCCAAAUGAUCGGUUGUUAGAUAUUGCUGAUGAGAAUAUGCCCUUGCAAGACGCAUUUCUCCUGGCAGAUGAUGUCCUUCGACAGGGUGUCCAAGGAAUAUCAGACAUUAUCACGAUACCUGGGCUCGUGAAUGUUGAUUUUGCUGAUGUGAAAGCUGUGAUGAAAAAUUCUGGAACUGCCAUGCUCGGAGUUGGUGUUUCUUCCAGCAAAAACCGUGCCCAAGAAGCUGCUGAGCAGGCAACUCUUGCCCCUUUGAUAGGGUCAUCCAUUGAGGCAGCUACUGGUGUCGUGUACAACAUCACUGGUGGGAAGGACAUCACUUUACAAGAAGUGAACAAGGUCUCUCAGAUCGUGACAAGCUUGGCUGAUCCCUCGGCAAACAUAAUUUUCGGAGCUGUGGUCGACGACCGUUAUAACGGCGAGAUCCACGUGACCAUCAUCGCAACAGGAUUUCCGCAGUCCUUCCAGAAGUCCCUUCUGGCUGACCCGAAGGGAGCACGGAUACUGGAGGCGAAAGAAAAAGUGGCUAGCCUCGCAACGGCUGCUGCGGCGCAACAACCGGCGGUGGCCGUCCCGACAUGGUCCCGGAGGCUCUUCUCCUGA